UACGGAGGGUGCAAGCGUUAUCCGGAUUCACUGGGUUUAAAGGGUGCGUAGGUGGGCAGUUAAGUCAGUGGUGAAACCUCCGGGCUUAACCCGGAAACUGCCAUUGAUACUAUCUGUCUUGAAUAUCGUGGAGGUAAGCGGAAUAUGUCAUGUAGCGGUGAAAUGCUUAGAUAUGACAUAGAACACCAAUUGCGAAGGCAGCUUACUACCCGAAUAUUGACACUGAGGCACGAAAGCGUGGGGAUCAAACAGG
Molecule: ribosomal RNA, 253 nt
Filed under: uncultured bacterium
Lineage: Bacteria
Description: partial 16S ribosomal RNA
Rfam family: Bacterial small subunit ribosomal RNA
Source: RNAcentral